GUCCACAGGAUCGGGAGAAUCCGGCGCGGGGGCAACCCCUUGCCGGUGCCGAAGGAGCAACCGCCCCGGUAAACUCUCAGGCGCAAGGGACCAUCCUGUACGA
RNAcentral lists this non-coding RNA (103 nucleotides) under Gemmobacter megaterium. Its description in RNAcentral is "Glycine sequence". It matches the Rfam family "Glycine riboswitch aptamer". From Rfam's summary of the family: This family represents the bacterial glycine riboswitch. The record is from Rfam by way of RNAcentral. Lineage: Bacteria; Pseudomonadati; Pseudomonadota; Alphaproteobacteria; Rhodobacterales; Paracoccaceae.